AACAAACGCUGGCGGCGUGUCUUAAGCAUGCAAGUUGAGCGGCAAGGGGGAGCAAUCCCCCCUAGAGCGGCGGACUGGUGAGUAACACGUGGAUGAUCUACCCAUGGCAUGGGGAUAGUCACUAGAAAUAGUGGGUAAUACCGAAUACGGUGCGUACUGUGAGGGUACGCAAGAAAGGUGCUACGGCACCGGCCUAGGAUGAGUCUGCGUCCCAUUAGCUAGUUGGUGAGGUAAGAGCCCACCAAGGCGAUGAUGGGUAGCCGGCCUGAGAGGGUGUACGGCCACACUGGGACUGAGAUACGGCCCAGACUCCUACGGGAGGCAGCAGCUAAGAAUAUUCCGCAAUGGACGAAAGUCUGACGGAGCGACGCCGCGUGGAUGAAGAAGGCCGAAAGGUUGUAAAGUUCUUUUGUUGGGGAAGAAUAACCAUGGGAGGGAAUGCCCGUGGGAUGACAUGAACCGACGAAUAAGCCCCGGCUAACUACGUG
RNAcentral lists this ribosomal RNA (488 nucleotides) under uncultured bacterium. RNAcentral describes it as "bacterial SSU rRNA". It matches the Rfam family "Bacterial small subunit ribosomal RNA", at positions 29 to 507 of the family's 1533-position model. The record is from RNAcentral.